AAAAGGAGGGUUGACUUCUAAAACACUAACCAUGGAAAGGCCACCAAUAGAAAGCUUAUCAUUACUAACUAGACACAUAUAGUAGUCAUGUUAUCAGAAUGUUAUCUUGGAAUCUAUUGAUAAAGAACUUAAUAUUUUUGAACUUUAGUUCCCAAGAUUUUAACUGCUAGGUCAGAGAUAUUCCAUCCAUUCUGUUUUACAUUUCACAGUUGCUUUGAUUGACCUUGAUUAUAACCUUUUACAAAUGCUACUAUAAAGAUCUCACAUUGACCAAAAAUAAAAAAGAAAAAAUUACAGCAUUAUAUAAGUAUCUAGUGCACCUACCAUGUACCAUAAAGCUAUUGAGCAAAUGAAAGUUUAUCUUGAUUUUCUUAUAUAAUGUAAAGAGAUUCCACACAUAGUGCUCUAAUUUGAG
RNAcentral lists this unclassified non-coding RNA (415 nucleotides) under Hevea brasiliensis (rubber tree). The record is from RNAcentral. Lineage: Eukaryota; Viridiplantae; Streptophyta; Magnoliopsida; Malpighiales; Euphorbiaceae.